CCUACGGGAGGCUGCAGUAGGGCAUAUUGCUCAAUGGGGGAAACCCUGAAGCAGCAACGCCGCGUGGAGGAUGAAGGUUUUAGGAUUGUAAACUCCUUUUGUUAGAGAAGAUUAUGACGGUAUCUAACGAAUAAGCACCGGCUAACUCCGUGCCAGCAGCCGCGGUAAUACGGAGGGUGCAAGCGUUACUCGGAAUCACUGGGCGUAAAGAGUGCGUAGGCGGGGUAAUAAGUCAGAUGUGAAAUCCUGUAGCUUAACUACAGAACUGCAUUGGAAACUGGCGAACUAGAGUGCGGGAGGGGUAAGCGGAAUGCCUAGUGUAGCGGUGAAAUGCUUAGAUAUCAUGAAGAACUCCGAUCGCGAAGGCAAGUGUCCGGGGUGCAACUGACGCUGAGGCUCGAAAGUGCGGGUAUCAAACAGGAUUAGAUACCCCUGUAGUC
RNAcentral lists this ribosomal RNA (440 nucleotides) under uncultured bacterium. RNAcentral describes it as "partial 16S ribosomal RNA". It matches the Rfam family "Bacterial small subunit ribosomal RNA", at positions 338 to 795 of the family's 1533-position model. The record is from RNAcentral.